This 73-nucleotide transfer RNA is filed under the name Bos taurus (domestic cattle). It matches the Rfam family "tRNA". From Rfam's summary of the family: Transfer RNA (tRNA) molecules are approximately 80 nucleotides in length. Their secondary structure includes four short double-helical elements and three loops (D, anti-codon, and T loops). Further hydrogen bonds mediate the characteristic L-shaped molecular structure. tRNAs have two regions of fundamental functional importance: the anti-codon, which is responsible for specific mRNA codon recognition, and the 3' end, to which the tRNAs corresponding amino acid is attached (by aminoacyl-tRNA synthetases). tRNAs cope with the degeneracy of the genetic code in two manners: having more than one tRNA (with a specific anti-codon) for a particular amino acid; and 'wobble' base-pairing, i.e. permitting non-standard base-pairing at the 3rd anti-codon position. The record is from Rfam by way of RNAcentral. Lineage: Eukaryota; Metazoa; Chordata; Mammalia; Artiodactyla; Bovidae. RNAcentral also lists the same sequence under 3 other names.
UCCCUUCUGGUCCAGUGACCAAGACUCUGUGCUCCCAAUGCAGAGGGUCCAGGUUCAAUCCCUGGUCAGGGAA